This 494-nucleotide ribosomal RNA is filed under the name uncultured bacterium. RNAcentral's name for it is "partial 16S ribosomal RNA". It matches the Rfam family "Bacterial small subunit ribosomal RNA", at positions 28 to 507 of the family's 1533-position model. The record is from RNAcentral.
GACGAACGCUGGCGGCGUGCUUAACACAUGCAAGUCGAACGGUGAAGCGCCUUCCUUUUUGGUGGGUGUGGAUGAGUGGCGAACGGGUGAGUAACACGUGAGUAACCUGCCCCCUUCUUCUGGAUAACCGCAUGAAAGUGUGGCUAAUACGGGAUAUUCUUGGUCUGUCGCAUGAUGGGUCUGGGACAGAUAUUGUUUCGGUGGGGGAUGGGCUCGCGGCCUAUCAGCUUGUUGGUGGGGUGAUGGCCUACCAAGGCGGUGACGGGUAGCCGGCCUGAGAGGGUGGACGGUCACACUGGGACUGAGACACGGCCCAGACUCCUACGGGAGGCAGCAGUGGGGAAUAUUGCACAAUGGGCGCAAGCCUGAUGCAGCGACGCCGCGUGAGGGAUGGAGGCCUUCGGGUUGUGAACCUCUUUCGCCAGUGAAGCAGGCCUGCCUCGUUUGUGGGUGGGUUGACGGUAGCUGGAGAAGAAGCGCCGGCUAACUACGUG